Rhagoletis zephyria (snowberry fruit fly) is the source of this 699-nucleotide long non-coding RNA. RefSeq lists it as uncharacterized. Lineage: Eukaryota; Metazoa; Arthropoda; Insecta; Diptera; Tephritidae. The record is from RefSeq and is a predicted model, not a curated record.
AUUGCAUCGUGGUGAAUUCCCAUAUCUCAGAAAUUUGACAACAAAACAAAAUGAAGGGAGUAUUUUAUUUUCCAAUUUUUGCGAUUUCUAUUGUUUAAUGUAAAUUUUAUGUCUUUUUAGGAUAUGUUGAAGCAACAAAGAAGGCGCAGUUGGAAAAUGAAGUUAUUAGUAUGAAGUAGCAUCUCAGGCAUAUUUGGAAAAGUAUGCCUAUAAGCAAGAUGGAAUUUGGGAAAAAAUGUUAUAAAUCGAGUGGCAUUAUUUAAGAUGUGCUCCAAAUAUUUGGCGAACUUUUUUUCGCCUUCUCAACGUGCUAAGUGACAAGAUAAGAUGACUGCCACCAGGGCCGGUAAGAAGCCCGAAGCAAAGGGAAAACUACCUUCCAGGAAGUUGCAUGCUGUCCGCGAGUCGAAGAUAAAGUUAAGCAAGAAGCAGGUCUGCAAAUGUGCUACCCUGAUAAGCGCAAACUAAAGCGCUCUACUGUGAUUGCACUCUGCAAGCGUGAAAAUUUGGAGCAUGCUGAGAAAUAUCAAGCAACAUAUCUCCUGAUGGACGCCGUGAGAUGAAGUUGCGCCGUCUACGUGCCCGCAGAAUGGCUUUUGUGAUCUUUAUCUGCGGUAUAAACAAAGUUGCACCAAAAGUGCGUAAAGUUUUACUGUGGUUCCAUCUUCGCCACAUUAACAACGGUUUGUUCAUCGAAUU